Molecule: ribosomal RNA, 751 nt
Filed under: uncultured Comamonadaceae bacterium
Lineage: Bacteria; Pseudomonadati; Pseudomonadota; Betaproteobacteria; Burkholderiales; Comamonadaceae
Description: bacterial SSU rRNA
Rfam family: Bacterial small subunit ribosomal RNA
Source: RNAcentral
AUUGAACGCUGGCGGCAUGCCUUACACAUGCAAGUCGAACGGUAACAGGUCUUCGGAUGCUGACGAGUGGCGAACGGGUGAGUAAUACAUCGGAACGUGCCCGAUCGUGGGGGAUAACGAAGCGAAAGCUUUGCUAAUACCGCAUAAGAUCUACGGAUGAAAGCAGGGGACCGCAAGGCCUUGCGCGAACGGAGCGGCCGAUGGCAGAUUAGGUAGUUGGUGGGAUAAAAGCUUACCAAGCCGACGAUCUGUAGCUGGUCUGAGAGGACGACCAGCCACACUGGGACUGAGACACGGCCCAGACUCCUACGGGAGGCAGCAGUGGGGAAUUUUGGACAAUGGGCGAAAGCCUGAUCCAGCCAUGCCGCGUGCAGGAUGAAGGCCUUCGGGUUGUAAACUGCUUUUGUGCGGAACGAAAAGACUCUGGUUAAUACCUGGGGUCCAUGACGGUACCGUAAGAAUAAGCACCGGCUAACUACGUGCCAGCAGCCGCGGUAAUACGUAGGGUGCAAGCGUUAAUCGGAAUUACUGGGCGUAAAGCGUGCGCAGGCGGUUAUAUAAGACAGAUGUGAAAUCCCCGGGCUCAACCUGGGAACUGCAUUUGUGACUGUAUAGCUAGAGUACGGCAGAGGGGGAUGGAAUUCCGCGUGUAGCAGUGAAAUGCGUAGAUAUGCGGAGGAACACCGAUGGCGAAGGCAAUCCCCUGGGCCUGUACUGACGCUCAUGCACGAAAGCGUGGGGAGCAAACAGG